GGGCUAUUAGCUCAGUUGGUUAGAGCGCACCCCUGAUAAGGGUGAGGUCACUGGUUCAAAUCCAGUAUAGCCCACCA
Molecule: transfer RNA, 77 nt
Filed under: Ulva prolifera
Lineage: Eukaryota; Viridiplantae; Chlorophyta; Ulvophyceae; Ulvales; Ulvaceae
Also listed under: 13 other names
Description: tRNA-Ile
Rfam family: tRNA
About the family: Transfer RNA (tRNA) molecules are approximately 80 nucleotides in length. Their secondary structure includes four short double-helical elements and three loops (D, anti-codon, and T loops).
Source: RNAcentral